GUCUAGGUUGCAAAAAAGACUAAAGUCCAUCAAGUUCAACCUUCAAAUCUAUUCUUUUAUGCUGUUGAUCCAAAAGAGGGCAAAAAAACCCCCAACAAUUCUAGCAGUUACUAUAAUGAAUUAUCCUUGAUUAAAGGUAUCACAACUUGUAAUUGACGCAUGCAUUGUUGGAUUCUAUGACAUACUAACCCAAACAAAAGUAGGACUACUUUGUCUCAGAAUUUUUCCUACACCUGACACUUCUAGACAUUGGGCGAAGUGUAAAUCCCCCAGGAGCAGAAAAGAACCGGAUGGAAGAAUAUGGCACCACCCAUGAGGUACAGGUUCAAGUAAGAUAAACUCACCAGCCUGUCCCCUCCCAACUCAUCUUUGCCGGACUCCCAGCGGCAGUGUCAUAUCACCGAAGACAGUUAUAUUGCCACUUUUAUUUUUUUGAGUUGAAAGGAAAUGCUUUUGUAAAGAUGAGUCCCUGGUUAUUCUCUAUAUUAGAGAUGUGAUUUUUCCCACUUCAGGACCUAUUCAUAUUGCUGAAGGAAAACAAUCAUAAACUUGAUGUCUUCCUUACAGCUACGUGCCAAACCUUAUUUUAUG
Molecule: non-coding RNA, 591 nt
Organism: Pelobates cultripes (western spadefoot toad)
Lineage: Eukaryota; Metazoa; Chordata; Amphibia; Anura; Pelobatidae
Source: the annotation of a GenBank genome assembly